Molecule: ribosomal RNA, 717 nt
Filed under: Pseudomonas aeruginosa
Lineage: Bacteria; Pseudomonadati; Pseudomonadota; Gammaproteobacteria; Pseudomonadales; Pseudomonadaceae
Description: bacterial SSU rRNA
Rfam family: Bacterial small subunit ribosomal RNA
Source: RNAcentral
UGCAGUCGAGCGGAUGAAGGGAGCUUGCUCCUGGAUUCAGCGGCGGACGGGUGAGUAAUGCCUAGGAAUCUGCCUGGUAGUGGGGGAUAACGUCCGGAAACGGGCGCUAAUACCGCAUACGUCCUGAGGGAGAAAGUGGGGGAUCUUCGGACCUCACGCUAUCAGAUGAGCCUAGGUCGGAUUAGCUAGUUGGUGGGGUAAAGGCCUACCAAGGCGACGAUCCGUAACUGGUCUGAGAGGAUGAUCAGUCACACUGGAACUGAGACACGGUCCAGACUCCUACGGGAGGCAGCAGUGGGGAAUAUUGGACAAUGGGCGAAAGCCUGAUCCAGCCAUGCCGCGUGUGUGAAGAAGGUCUUCGGAUUGUAAAGCACUUUAAGUUGGGAGGAAGGGCAGUAAUUUAAUACCUUGCUGUUUUGACGUUACCAACAGAAUAAGCACCGGCUAACUUCGUGCCAGCAGCCGCGGUAAUACGAAGGGUGCAAGCGUUAAUCGGAAUUACUGGGCGUAAAGCGCGCGUAGGUGGUUCAGCAAGUUGGAUGUGAAAUCCCCGGGCUCAACCUGGGAACUGCAUCCAAAACUACUGAGCUAGAGUACGGUAGAGGGUGGUGGAAUUUCCUGUGUAGCGGUGAAAUGCGUAGAUAUAAGAAGGAACACCAGUGGCGAAGGCGACCACCUGGACUGAUACUGACACUGAGGUGCGAAAGCGUGGGGAGC